GAAAUGCGAUAAGUAAUGUGAAUUGCAGAAUUCAGUGAAUCAUCAAAUCUUUGAACGCACAUUGCGCCCCCUGGUAUUCCGGGGGGCACACCUGUUCGAGCGCCAUUUCUACCCUGGAGCCCUGCUCUGUGAUGGGCCCCGUCCUCGCGGACGGGCCCGAAACCUGUGGGCGCCGUUGUCCGGUCCUGAGCGUAGCAAGAGAAAUCCCUCGCUCGGAGCAUCAGGCAGUGGCCGCCCCGACACACUUUUACAAGGUUGGCCUCGGAUCAGGUGGGGAUACCCGCUGAACUUAA
Molecule: unclassified non-coding RNA, 293 nt
Filed under: uncultured Venturiales
Lineage: Eukaryota; Fungi; Ascomycota; Dothideomycetes
Description: sequence contains ITS1
Rfam family: 5.8S ribosomal RNA (bases 1-105)
Source: RNAcentral